Molecule: ribosomal RNA, 400 nt
Filed under: uncultured bacterium
Lineage: Bacteria
Description: bacterial SSU rRNA
Rfam family: Bacterial small subunit ribosomal RNA
Source: RNAcentral
UGGGGAAUUUUGGACAAUGGGCGCAAGCCUGAUCCAGCCAUGCCGCGUGCGGGAAGAAGGCCUUCGGGUUGUAAACCGCUUUUGUCGGGGAAGAAAUGCUCUGGGCUAAUACCCUGGGGAGAUGACGGUACCCGAAGAAUAAGCACCGGCUAACUACGUGCCAGCAGCCGCGGUAAUACGUAGGGUGCAAGCGUUAAUCGGAAUUACUGGGCGUAAAGCGUGCGCAGGCGGUCAUACAAGACAGAUGUGAAAUCCCCGGGCUCAACCUGGGAACUGCAUUUGUGACUGUAUGGCUGGAGUACGGUAGAGGGGGAUGGAAUUCCGCGUGUAGCAGUGAAAUGCGUAGAUAUGCGGAGGAACACCGAUGGCGAAGGCAGUCCCCUGGACCUGUACUGACGCU